UCCCUGGAGGUCCAGUGGUUAAGAUUCUGUACUUCCAACACAGGGGGUAUGGGUUUGAUCCCUGUUCAGGGAG
This 73-nucleotide transfer RNA is filed under the name Bos taurus (domestic cattle). It matches the Rfam family "tRNA". From Rfam's summary of the family: Transfer RNA (tRNA) molecules are approximately 80 nucleotides in length. Their secondary structure includes four short double-helical elements and three loops (D, anti-codon, and T loops). Lineage: Eukaryota; Metazoa; Chordata; Mammalia; Artiodactyla; Bovidae. RNAcentral also lists the same sequence under 2 other names. The record is from Rfam by way of RNAcentral.